CGUACACUGUCACCUUUUCAGUUCCCACCUUCAACAGUUUUCUUCCUCCCCUUUCCAAAACCUUCCACCCGUCCCGUUUCAACCCACCUAGCUCCGCCAUGGACUCCAUGGACAGCCCAAAGCUCGAACCCUGCACAUCUUCUCAAGAGGAAAAGCUCGCCAUCCAAGAUAACAAAUACGAUCUACUGUGCUCCGGCAGUUCAGUCAUACCUUCCAACUUUUACUGGAGGCAUUCCAUGACCGAGGAGAAGCAUAUCCAGAUCUUGGAAGACCGUGGUCUGCUACCUCCGAAGGAGGUGUAUGAUCGGAAAGCUACACCAGGUCAGGAAUUCCACAGCGAAAACACAAAAGAACUCGUGGUAUUCGUUCAUCAUUUCCGUUGUGGAUUCGGAGUUCACCCUUCCGCGUUCUUGGAACAUAUUUGCGAUUUCUACAACUUUGAAACACAUCUGCUCGUCGAACACAUCUGCUCGGGGAUCUGGUGAUCGGGCCAUUUCAACCAGGGCCUCUCCUGUUGUGACUUCCGUAACCGAAGGCCCUGUCAGAGAUCCUCCACGUUCAGGCGAUCAGGAACAACAGACGAGCACCCCGCCCCGACCUCGGCGUCGCAAAAUAGCAGUAUCCGUUCCUAGGGCACUUAAACACUCUGACAAGCAAGAAGAAAUAAGUUCGGCAGGGGCAGAACCAGGGCC
This is a long non-coding RNA of Panicum virgatum (switchgrass), 692 nucleotides long. RefSeq lists it as uncharacterized. The record is from RefSeq and is a predicted model, not a curated record. The transcript has 3 exons. NCBI's taxonomy places the organism in Eukaryota, Viridiplantae, Streptophyta, Magnoliopsida, Poales, Poaceae.